UACGUAGGGUGCAAGCGUUGUCCGGAAUUAUUGGGCGUAAAGAGCUCGUAGGCGGUCUGUCGCGCCGGAUGUGAAAACCCAGGGCUCAACCCUGGGCCUGCAUUCGAUACGGGCAGACUAGAGUUCGGUAGGGGAGACUGGAAUUCCUGGUGUAGCGGUGAAAUGCGUAGAGAUCGGAAGGAACACCGGUGGCGAAGGCGGCUUCCUGGACCGAUACUGACGCUGAGGCGCGAAAGCUAGGGGAGCAAACGGG
Molecule: ribosomal RNA, 253 nt
Filed under: uncultured bacterium
Lineage: Bacteria
Description: partial 16S ribosomal RNA
Rfam family: Bacterial small subunit ribosomal RNA
Source: RNAcentral